UGAGUAACACGUAUCCAACCUGCCGUCUACUCUUGGACAGCCUUCUGAAAGGAAGAUUAAUACAAGAUGGCAUCAUGAGUCCGCAUGUUCACAUGAUUAAAGGUAUUCCGGUAGACGAUGGGGAUGCGUUCCAUCAGUUUGUUGGCGGGGUAACGGCCCACCAAGACUACGAUGGAUAGGGGUUCUGAGAGGAAGGUCCCCCACAUUGGAACUGAGACACGGUCCAA
RNAcentral lists this ribosomal RNA (227 nucleotides) under uncultured bacterium. RNAcentral describes it as "partial 16S ribosomal RNA". It matches the Rfam family "Bacterial small subunit ribosomal RNA", at positions 107 to 334 of the family's 1533-position model. The record is from RNAcentral.